RNAcentral lists this long non-coding RNA (453 nucleotides) under Sinocyclocheilus grahami. RNAcentral's name for it is "lncRNA (ENSSGRG00000030551.1)". Lineage: Eukaryota; Metazoa; Chordata; Actinopteri; Cypriniformes; Cyprinidae. The record is from RNAcentral.
AAUAUUUGUACUGCAGAGACAAAGCACACACUACGUUCUGUGUGGAAUGGUUGGGAACUGUACCUGGACUUUUGUCGCAUGAAACGCAGGAUGCAGGAGGCAGCAGUGCAGCAUGAGAGACUCGCUGUACUAAAGUGGGUUUGGACUGUGUGGAAUAUGACACUACAGCACAGGGAUGUGGAGUACCAUCAAGAAGAUCUUGCUUUGCAACACUGGGCUCACACUGUACAGAGCAGAGCGUGGCUGCACUGGAGAGACAGGAUGAAACAAGCCUGUGUUCUGAAAGAGAAGGAGUCCAAAGCUCAUCGUCACUAUUGUCUUCAACUGUUAAGACAUGCACUGCAUGGAUGGAUCAGACACACAGAGAACCGACAGGCUAAGAGCAAGAAAACAGGUGCCAUUCACUUUUUAUAUUUAUGAUAUAUACUGUUGGUCAAAUUGGUCAGAAGUGAC